Molecule: long non-coding RNA, 692 nt
Organism: Homo sapiens (human)
Lineage: Eukaryota; Metazoa; Chordata; Mammalia; Primates; Hominidae
Product: long intergenic non-protein coding RNA 2223
Source: Ensembl
AGUGAGCAAAAAUGAAUACUAAUUCUAGCUGCUCCUGAGUCCAGAGAGCGGCACACUCCAUCUCAGUGAAGUAGCUCUUUCUGAGAUUCCUCAUCCGUGGGGCUUUUCAGUUAAUCAAGAGAGUAUGUCCAGGCUAGUCUACUUAGGCAAGGUCGAGGCAAGAGGAAGCUAAAUGGCUCUGCCUGAAAAGAGAAGACAGGAAUUUUUAAAGUGGGCAAAACAAGAAUGAUAAUAGGCAUGUCUCAAGGUUGCUGUGUGGACCAGCUAAAGCCCUAUGUAAGAAAGCACUUCACAUACAGAAGAGGGGCCUACAAAUUUGAGAACUAGUCCAGCAUAUUCUGGUUGGGUUCACCUUCUCUCUGAUCAUCCACCAUUGGCCACCUUUGGGUGACAUCUCACGGGAUGGGCUCCCAACAGCUGGCAGAACUAUGCUGGGCCCUACCCUGUCAAGUAACUCACAGAUGACCCCGCAGCUUGCUUUUAAAAGUGAAUGACACUUUGCAGGCUGAAUAAGCUGAAAAUGACAUUAUUCUGAACCAUCAAUAUCUCCCGAUUUAAAAAUGUCUUCCCUCCGUCUUCUCUUUUUUCAUCUCUACUCCCAUCACCAUCUCACUGAAGUUGUACAACAUCAUGCAGUCAUUUAUAUUCACCUAUUUAAAAUAAAAACCUAAUCAUACCAAGCAGAAGAAAAA